Molecule: long non-coding RNA, 626 nt
Organism: Oncorhynchus keta (chum salmon)
Lineage: Eukaryota; Metazoa; Chordata; Actinopteri; Salmoniformes; Salmonidae
Exons: 3
Source: RefSeq, a predicted model, not a curated record
GAGGACAGUAGAUUGAGAGGAGGCUGGUGGGAGGUGUUAUAGGAGGACAGUAGAUUGAGAGGAGGCUGGUGGGAUGUGUUAUAGGAGCACAGUAGAUGAAGAGGAGGCUGGUGGGAGGUGUUAUAGGAGGACAGUAGAUAUAUAUAUAUAUAUGCCAUUUAGCAGACGCUUUUAUCCAAAGCGACUUACAGUCAUGUGUGCAUACAUUCUACGUAUGGGUGGUCCCGGGGAUCGAACCCACUACCCUGGCGUUACAAGCGCCAUGCUCUACCAACUGAGCUACAGAUGAAGAGGAGGCUGGUGGGAGGUGUUAUAGGAGGACAGUAGAUGAAGAGGAGGCUGGUGGGAGGUGUUAUAGGAGGACAGUAGAUGAAGAGGAGGCUGGUGGGAUGUGUUAUAGGAGGACAGUAGAUGGAGAGGAGGCUGGUGGGAGGUGUUAUAGGAGGACAGUAGAUGGAGAGGAGGCUGGUGGGAGGUGUUAUAGGAGGACAGUAGAUGGAGAGGAGGCUGGUGGGAGGUGUUAUAGGAGGACAGUAGAUGAAGAGGAGGCUGGUGGGAGGUGUUAUAGGAGGACAGUAGAUGAAGAGGAGGCUGGUGGGAGGUGUUAUAGGAGGACAGUAGAUGGA